UAAAGUUAAAUGUUUGAUCGUUUUGUAGGGGCUUGACAAACGCUCAAUUUUUAUGGGUGUGCCGCAUUAAAGACUUGGAAGUAAACGUCCACUGCUAUGAUUGCAUAGCAGUUUGCGUAGUCUUGCGUUGGAGCCUUAUGUGAAUUUUCUUGUACACAUAACUGACUUAUUUCCCGGAUGUGAUGUCAAGGCUUUGCGCAUAGUUUGUAUCGCCUAUAGUUGUAUGGUGUUUAAUGAUAAAUGACCGUACCUGUCAGCAUACUCGUGAUCACGAUCCGGACAGAAGAUCACUGCGAUCGCGGGUCUCAAAUGUUAAGAGAGAUUCCAAGAUAAAUAAACAAAAAGGAGACUCACGGUAACUUAUGGAUACGACCUAGCACCCGAAAUAAUACCAAAACAAUUGGUAUUUUGACUUUAAGCUCAAGGCCUGGUGUCAAUAACAGAUGCUAUCUCAGUAACAAGGGUGUUUUCAGUUCUGACACUUGAAUACGAUUCCUUCUUGUAUAACAAAAGCUUGGGUUAAAAUUGAGGUCUUAAUUCAUUCCCCCUUUAAUGAAUGAAUGAGGUUGGCCACUUGCAAUUUAACUCUGGGUUUACCAAAGAAAAGCUGCUCCCAACCAGGUUAGUUUCAAGGUGCAAGUUACUACAGUUACUGACUCUGAGUAUAAGUGACCUCUCCUUUAGAAACAGGCUUCGGUUACCCUGCUCUCUCAGGUUUGACACACCUCACAAUCUGAAACGGAAAACCCAGAGUUUCCCUCAGUUCAUGGUUGAUAUACUCAAGAUUUUUCACUAAACCUCCUUUCUGAAACUGCUACAUUAGCUUUGUUAUUAAUUUUUCUCCCACCGCUGCUCCUCCCACAGAGAAGAAGAGACAGGUGUUGAGAGUGGAAGUGAAAUCAGAUGAGAACGUGAACGAUCCUGAAGUGAAGAAGAAAGUUCUGGAGAAGAUCCAGCACAUCCUGAACAUGAAGGGCUUGGAAGGCAACGUCACGCUGUCAUGGAGAAAUCAAUCCGAUGGGAAUGUCUUCCAGAAGAAGCAGAAGAAUAAAGAGACUCAGCACACCUGCCAUUGAACUACAGCUGCAGACUUCAUUAUCAUACAUAGAUAUGGUAUAUGCUACAGGUGUAUAUACACACAAUAAUAUAAAAGUCUUAAUCCUCUGAGGUAGUGCAGUGACAUAAAGCAAUAGUGCAUCCGAGUCAAAUAGUAAGGAGGUUAUUGCACCUUUAUAGGAGUUUUUAUUGCACAUUUUCAUGGUGGGGAGUGUGUAAGAGGUUAUCCCCUUACCCGCUGUCUGCACCUGGGUCCUCUGUCCUUGUUCCCUCACCAUUUCAUGACAUGGGGCAAUUCAUGCUAUUAAGAAACCAUUAACUACGACUUUUCCCCCAAUAAACUCUUAGUUUGUUGCUUAUUAAUAAUUAGUAAGAUAGUUGUUAGGUUUAGGUAAAGACGAGACCGGAGAGAGUGUGUGGAAGGCCAUAUGGGCCAUAAUUGCCUCUCUUCACACAAAACAUGGGGUUCUCUCAUGGUUCUGUAACAUCUUGUCUUGCUUUUCUUGAUCUAGUGGAAGAACAAUGACACAGAUUAAAGAUGUUUAACAGAAAAACCUGUAAAUAAAACAAGAAUUCAGUCAA
Molecule: long non-coding RNA, 1638 nt
Organism: Triplophysa dalaica
Lineage: Eukaryota; Metazoa; Chordata; Actinopteri; Cypriniformes; Nemacheilidae
Exons: 2
Source: RefSeq, a predicted model, not a curated record